AGAGUUUGAUCCUGGCUCAGGACGAACGCUGGCGGCGUGCUUAACACAUGCAAGUCGAGCGGAAAGGCCCUUUGGGGUACUCGAGCGGCGAACGGGUGAGUAACACGUGAGUAACCUGCCCUCAGCUUUGGGAUAAGCCUGGGAAACUGGGUCUAAUACCGGAUAUGACACGUUUUCGCAUGGGAGCGUGUGGAAAGUUU
This 200-nucleotide ribosomal RNA is filed under the name uncultured bacterium. RNAcentral describes it as "partial 16S ribosomal RNA". It matches the Rfam family "Bacterial small subunit ribosomal RNA", at positions 8 to 210 of the family's 1533-position model. The record is from RNAcentral.